Non-coding RNA from Zonotrichia albicollis (white-throated sparrow), 2740 nucleotides. NCBI's taxonomy places the organism in Eukaryota, Metazoa, Chordata, Aves, Passeriformes, Passerellidae. The record is from RefSeq and is a predicted model, not a curated record.
GAGCUGCCCCUUCUUCCUCCCUGCCUCUGGCUCCCUCCCGCCCCGUCCUCCCCUCAGCCUGCCCUCCUGGGGUGCCUUGCAGGUAAGGAAUAACUUUUAUUACGUUUUUAACAACCUUCUUUGUUCAUUGCUUAUGCUUAAACAGAACCUUUGCUGGUGUGAUUAAAGGACAUUGAUUAUGAAAGAAGGGACUUCAGGAAGAGCCACUGACAGUCCCAGGCACAGGGACUGGGAGUAGGGAGAGUGGAGGUAUGAGGAGAGGUACAUUAGAAAGCCUGUUCUUCCCCUUCCCAGCUCCCUUUUUGCCUGGGACAGAGUAGGAUUUGCCAGCCCAGGAGCUUUUCAGACUGCCAUGAGCAGUGGAGGUGUCUGAAAACAGAGGCUUUACUGAGAGCUCACCUUGCCUUAGUGAGGGAACCACCACUCCUUCUCCACCCUGAUUGCAGGGAAACCCAAGUGACCCCUUGCCUUUCCAUGUAGUACAUGCCACUGUCCUGCCAGGGCCUUGUUGGGAUGUCUGGCCAGCAAUGAACAGGGGAGUGUGUGCUCCACACAGCCUGGGAGAGAUCUCUGGGACAUGGGCACAUCCUCCCCUCCAUGGUCAGCAAUCACACACAGGUGUUGUCACUCAUGCAUUGGCACUGCUGGGCAGCAGGGACCCUCCUGCCAUCGAGUCUAUGAUGCCUGCAGCAUUUAAUUUCCAAUGAAAUCCACCUGCACAGCUCAUCAGCAGGAGCCUGCCAGCGUGCCCUGUGGCUCCAGUGGUAUAAAAGCCAGGUAGAGAAGAGCAGUUGUUCCCUGAGCUGUGGGAUCAUGGACGGUGUGGAGGAAAUGCAGAAGAAGAUGAGUCAUCAGAGAGCUUUUCAGGAACACAAAGGCAUUCCUAGUGGAGGAUCUGAUGCCAAGUCUUUGUUGCUGGGUUUAAUAGUUACACCUGGGAUUAUUUCAUCCCACUGAACUGACCUCUUCUGAGACACUGCUGCUUCCCCCAGGCAAGGAAGAAUGGUGAGGGGAUUAGAAACAAUGCAGAGCCCAGGCUCUGUCUCCUGCUGGAGUGUGCUCUCCUUGGCUCCUGCACCAGCCAGGGCUCUGCAGCUCAGUCCCCCACAGGGCCUGGGUGAAACAGCUUCCCUGGUACCUGCUGCCCCAGGAUAAUGCACUGCUUCCCCACAUUGUGAGAGAACACAUGCCACAGCUUCUGCGUGAACAGCAAAGCAAAGAGAGAGAAGAGAACUUUCUGGAAAGCCAGGAGUGUGGGUGUAGGACUGAAGGCAGCAGAACCAGUGGCAGUACUUCCACUAAGGUAAACAGGAACAGAACUGGGUUUGCCGUGGUCUGGUGUUAAUUAGCUUCCUCUUCAGCAAUUUCUGAGUGUGCUAAUGGUCCUGAAGCAGACAUGUCAAAAGAUCCUUGACUACAAUAUACUACAGGUAACAUGACCUAGAGGGAUUAGUAGCAAGGAAAAGACACAGGAUGCCACUUUAACCCUGUUCAUCUUGCUUAGCUCUGCCUCCUCCACAGAAUUUCCUCACCAUUGUCCAUCUCCCAUUGCCUUGUGAUCUGACUGUCUCUAGACCUCCUGCCUUCUGGAUCCUUGGCUGUCCUGCCUGGGCCCCUCAGCUGGGCAAGCCACACUGUGCCAUUGCAGGGUGCUGGGGACCAGCCCUAUCAAAUCUCACUCUCUUCACCCCUUGCCCCUCCACAACCUGCUCUCUCCAGUCCUCUGGUUGUGGCCCAAUGUCUUGCCCCACUACCUGUCAUGGUCUUUUUCUCCCUAGGACUUGCUGUGCCACAGGAGCCCCUGUGCAGCCAGCAUAGCCCUCACUUGUCUGUGCCCACCAUCAUCCUCCAUCUGCAAAAUCACUUUGUCCCUUCACUCCCCUUGCUUGAUGGGGAGACAAGAGUUGAGUCACUAUUCCUUCAGCAUCUAAUAUGGGGGAAAUAAUGUCUAAAGAAGGAGCUGUGGUGGUAGAGGGAGAAGCUGCUGCUGUUCCUCUGCCUGGGGUUGACCAUUCUAGAGCUCUUGAGCAGUUCAGGUGAUGUGGGAUGGAACUGCUGCAGGGGGUGAGCCAAAGCCCUGCUCAGGGAGGGAGCUCCAAAGUGGUGAAGAAAGAGUCCUGUUUCUCAGAGUGCAGCAUGCUGAAUCUCUCCUUGCUUUAAUAAGCAGCUGCUUCUCUGUGGAGAGGCUCCCUGUCCUGUGCCAGCUCCCCUUUCAUGACAGCCAAAAUUACUCCUGUGUUAGGCAGAGGCCCUUCCAGUGAAAAGAAGCCCUUUCCUGUCAGGGUUCAGUGCAAACACCCUUUGCUUGGGAGCACUGGGCUGGAGUCUUGUCACAGGUGAGGUGUCCCAGGGGAGCCCUGUUGGGGAGCCCUGCUGCUCUCUGCUUUGUUCUCUGUCCCCCCUUCAGCUCUGUGGGAUCCCCAGGCCCCUGUGCAGCUUCUCCAGGGCUUCUUUUUCCUUCACAGUGAGCUGCCAGGCUUCUUGUGCCCACACCUGGUUACUGAUGGAUUGACGGUGUCUGAAGUUUGGGUUAUUAAUCCUGACCUGAGGCAAUAUCUCAUUAAUGAAAAUAAAACUGGAAAUUAAUAGAUGAGGAAAUAAAGAGGCUGAAAGCUGAUGAAAGGGGAAUUGUGAGGGAGAAGAGUGAAAAAAGGGAAGAAGAAAUUCAGUUUGGGACUUGAUUUCUCUGGAGGCAAAGUGGAGAGAAGGAAAAAUCUGAGUCUUAACAGGGCAGGAGAGG